Long non-coding RNA from Peromyscus californicus insignis, 1135 nucleotides. RefSeq lists it as uncharacterized. The transcript has 3 exons. NCBI's taxonomy places the organism in Eukaryota, Metazoa, Chordata, Mammalia, Rodentia, Cricetidae. The record is from RefSeq and is a predicted model, not a curated record.
CAGGAACCACAAAAGAUACUGCCAGAAGUGUGGGCUGUCUGGGGCCCUGCUCUUGCUCAACCACUGACUGCCACAUCCUCAGUGCUUCUUCUCUUACAUGGAACUAAAGAAAGGCAGUUUACAGAUUAGCAGCUGUUCCCCAAACCUGGGUGCCUCUACCCUGGCAGGUGGCUUCUUGGCACUUUUGUGAUGCGGAAAUGGAGAAAGAACUGAAGAAGACCCUGUGUCACAGACAUGUCAGAGAUAUGAACCAAGAAAUGUCCAUCUGGGCCUGAAGAGAUGGAUCAGUGGAUAAAGAGAUUGUGGAGCAAGGCUGAAGACCGGCGUUCAGACUUCCAGAAUCCAGGUAAAAAGCUUGCAAGGUUUGGUUGCUGCCUGUAAUCCCAAACAGAGAUAGUGACAAGAUCAUGAGGCAAGCUGGAUAGCUAGAAUAGCCGGAAUCGGCAGAAAAAAAAAUAGAGAGACAUCAAGGAAGACACUCGAUUUCAGCUUUGAACCUGUGUGUGUGUGUGUGUGUGUGUGUGUGUGUGUGUGUACAGUAAGUAUGAGGACAUGAGGUCCAUUACCAAGAUUUAAACAAAAAGGGAGCCAGGAGGUGGUACACACCUUUAAAUCCCAGCACUCAGGAGUUAGAGGCAGGCAGAUCUCUGUGAGUUCAAGGCCAACCUGGCCUACAAAGUGAGUUCCCAGGACAGCCAGGGCCAUUACACAGAGAAACCCUGUCUCAAAAAAACAAAAACAAAAACAAAAUCAACAACAACAACAACGAAAAGGAAUCCUUUUCAGUAGAGACAUGUAGGUGAGACCACUGAAUUCUCUCCAUUUAUCACUGGUGUUAUGAUCUUCUUUAAAAAUAUUUUUAUUGUAGGUGUAGGAGUGCUUUGCCUACAAGUAUGUGUGUACACCACAUGUGAGACUGGUACCUGAGGCCUGAAAGGAGUAUCAAAGCCUCUGGGACUGGAGUUACAGACAGUUAUGUGCCACCAUGGGUGUGCUGAGAGUUGAAUCUGGGUCCUCUGGAAGAGCCGCCAGUGCUCUUAACCGGUGGGUCAUCUCUGCAGACUGUUUCAGUCUGCAGAUGGGAUUCAGUGACAGAGUGGUUGCUAUUGGUUAUGCCGCGGCGCUGCCCCUCGUG